This is a long non-coding RNA of Oncorhynchus nerka (sockeye salmon), 816 nucleotides long. RefSeq lists it as uncharacterized. The record is from RefSeq and is a predicted model, not a curated record. NCBI's taxonomy places the organism in Eukaryota, Metazoa, Chordata, Actinopteri, Salmoniformes, Salmonidae. The transcript has 2 exons.
CGUCAUCUUUUCCGCUUGACUCUGCGGCCGGUGGGAAUGUUCUCGAACAUGUCGGAUGAAGAAGUAACACAAGCAGGACCUGAGCCCUAGGACCAUGCCCCAGGACUACCUGACAUGAUGACUCCUUGCUGUCCCCAGUCCACCUGGCCAUGCUGCUGCUCCAGUUUCAACUGGCCUGGGCCCCUAGGACCAUGUCCCAGGACUACCUGACAUGAUGACUCCUUGCUGUCCCCAGUCCACCUGGCCAUGCUGCUGCUCCAGUUUCAACUGUUCUGCCUUACUAUUAUUCGACCAUGCUGGUCAUUUAUGAACAUUUGAACAUCUUGGCCACGUUCUGUUAUAAUCUCCACCGAGCACAGCCAGAAGAGGACUGGCCACCCCACAUAUGCUCUCUCUAAUUCUCUCUUUCUUUCUCUCUCUCGGAGGACCUGAGCCCUAGGACCGUGCCCCAGGACUACCUGACAUGAUGACUCCUUGCUGUCCCCAGUCCACCUGACUGUGCUGCUGCUCCAGUUUCAACUGUUCUGCCUUAUUAUUAUUCGACCAUGCUGGUCAUUUAUGAACAUUUGAACAUCUUGGCCAUGUUCUGUUAUAAUCUCUACCCGGCACAGCCAGAAGAGGACUGGCCACCCCACAUAGCCUGGUUCCUCUCUAGGUUUCUUCCUAGGUUUUGGCCUUUCUAGGGAGUUUUCCUAGCCACUGUGCUUUUACACCUGCAUUGCUUGCUGUUUGGGGUUUUAGGCUGGGUUUCUGUACAGCACUUUGAGAUAUCAGCUGAUGUACGAAGGGCUUUAUAAAUAAAUUUGAUUUGAUUUG